Molecule: ribosomal RNA, 494 nt
Filed under: uncultured bacterium
Lineage: Bacteria
Description: partial 16S ribosomal RNA
Rfam family: Bacterial small subunit ribosomal RNA
Source: RNAcentral
GACGAACGCUGGCGGCGUGCUUAACACAUGCAAGUCGAACGGUGAAGCGCCUUCCUUUUUGGUGGGUGUGGAUGAGUGGCGAACGGGUGAGUAACACGUGAGUAACCUGCCCCCUUCUUCUGGAUAACCGCAUGAAAGUGUGGCUAAUACGGGAUAUUCUGGGUCUGUCGCAUGAUGGGUCUGGGAAAGAUAUUGUUUCGGUGGGGGAUGGGCUCGCGGCCUAUCAGCUUGUUGGUGGGGUGAUGGCCUACCAAGGCGGUGACGGGUAGCCGGCCUGGGAGGGUGGACGGUCACACUGGGACUGAGACGCGGCCCAGACUCCUACGGGAGGCAGCAGUGGGGAAUAUUGCACAAUGGGCGCAAGCAUGAUGCAGCGACGCCGCGUGAGGGAUGGAGGCCUUCGGGUUGUGAACCUCUUUCGCCAGUGAAGCAGGCCUGCCUCGUUUGUGGGUGGGUUGACGGUAGCUGGAUAAGAAGCGCCGGCUAACUACGUG